AAACCAUCAAGCCUCGCUUGGUAUUGGACUCGGUCGAGUGACCUGUCCGUAACCCGUUGGCGGUGCAGUCCGGCUUCAAGCGUAGCAGAAUUUUCGCUUCAGGAGUCCGCGGCGGUGCCUGCUAGAGAAUCUCAACCCAAAUU
RNAcentral lists this unclassified non-coding RNA (143 nucleotides) under uncultured Dothideomycetes. Its description in RNAcentral is "sequence contains ITS2". Lineage: Eukaryota; Fungi; Ascomycota; Dothideomycetes. The record is from RNAcentral.